UUACGCUAAUACCGCAUACGAUCUAAGGAUGAAAGCGGGGGAUCGCAAGACCUCGCGCGGUUGGAGCGGCCGAUAUCAGAUUAGGUAGUUGGUGAGGUAAAGGCUCACCAAGCCGACGAUCUGUAGCUGGUCUGAGAGGACGACCAGCCACACUGGGACUGAGACACGGCCCAGACUCCUACGGGAGGCAGCAGUGGGGAAUUUUGGACAAUGGGCGCAAGCCUGAUCCAGCAAUGCCGCGUGCAGGAUGAAGGCCUUCGGGUUGUAAACUGCUUUUGUACGGAACGAAACGGUGAGCUCUAAUACAGUUUGCUAAUGACGGUACCGUAAGAAUAAGCACCGGCUAACUACGUG
Molecule: ribosomal RNA, 354 nt
Filed under: uncultured bacterium
Lineage: Bacteria
Description: bacterial SSU rRNA
Rfam family: Bacterial small subunit ribosomal RNA
Source: RNAcentral